GUCAACACAAAGCGAUCUAAAAACUUUAGAAUAUUCCAAGAAAACUAAAAAAAAUAGUUUACUAAAUAGUUACAUGGCCUAUACCCGCAAAUACAACCUAGUAUUCAUCACUCGACGGCAAUCAUAAAAAAGUAGCAGCAAUUUUUUGCUGAACGAAAUAAAAUAACAACAAUUGAUAAACCGGUGUCCGUAGGGGCUGAAGGCCCAUGGGCUACGGGUCGCCCAACAAGCCCGGCCUGUUCACACGUCAAAAUACAUAGUACUAGUACUAAGUACACAAGAGUAACCAUCUGGGUCCUAGAGAUUAUUGGGCCGACUCGAAACUACACACACGAAUGUUGCAACGCGGAAAUCUGCCAAGCCGCCAGCGGCCAGCCGGGGCAUUUUUUGGUUGGUGGUCUGCCUGGCUGGCUGGGACUUGCUGCCAUGCAACUGCUAGUGCCCUACACCGGGAGCUGGCGGAUUCGGAGGGCACACGCCGCCGGAGUUGUUCCCGUAGGUGCAGUUGGACGGCUGCGCAGAGGAAUUCGUGCUCGUCAACUCCACCGCCACGGAGACGACGACGCGAUCCAGCACGGCGCCGGUGGCGGAGCUGCCGCCGGCCUCCUGCCUCAUCACCACCACCGGCCGUGCCGCCACCGCCACGCCACCGGAGGCGAGCACGGCAACCGCUGCUGCAACGACGACGACUGUAAGUGUCGAGGACCUCAUGGUCUAUCGAUCGAUGGAUGGUUUCACACACUUCACAACUAGCAAUAAUAAUCGUCGUGUGAUCACCUGUGUGUGCUGCUGCGAUGUGUAUGUGUAUGCAAUGCAUGCGUAUAAAUACACGCACGGGAGCACGGUUACUACUACAUGGUGGGUACGUAGUGCGUGGAGAGAGAGAGAGAGAGAGAGAGAGAGAGAGACGUUUUGCAUUGUCAUUUGACCUUGGAAUGAAUUGGAAUGAACAAGGUAAAUGCUUUGCCCUGUCUAGUUGUUGUCUUCCAGGGGGGAGGAAAUUUAAUUAGAACCGUUGCAUUAGUCCACUGUCCACAGCUUCAGACUUGCAGCUAGAAAAAAAGAAAGUCUGCAUGCAUGCACACACCCGGCAAUUCAGCUUCUUCGGUCAGGGAAGCACCGAGAGUACAAGUAGGCCAAUGCGUUGUCAUUCCUUUUUGACCCUUCUCUACCUACGUGUCAACCGAGCAAAAACUACAGUGAACGAAGCCGAGGACGGCAAGCACUUCGGAAGGCAGGGACGAGGAGGGAGCACUCGCGCAGAGCUCGGCAAAUCUGCUGGCCACAGGCCACCUGAUCGAGCUCGCUCAGGUUCUCGGACAACAAGGACGAUGAAGUCAUUUAACAGUAUUUUUCUUUCAUAAUAAAUCAACGAAUAAUAAUUUUAUCUAUAAUUUUUCAUAUAAGUGAACAUGGCUGUUGGUUGUCACUUUGUCAGAGGAGAGACGGAUCUUUUUUUUUUUCUCGAUCGGGUGAUCAACCCGUAUUUCAUUAAGAGGAGAGACGGAUCUGGUUCGUGGGACGGGCCUAACACGCGACGCGAGCCCGGCCUUUCGGCUCUGCUCUGGUCCGCGCCGCGCGCGUGUUGCAUGGAUCCAGCUCCACCGCAAACUCCGCGAGCCUUCGUCGGCGCCGCCGGAACACGCACCGACGCACGUGGACGAGCGUGCUGCCUAGUGGGCGUGAUGCGUAGUCGAUGGUUCAUAGGAAAUGGGGGCGCGCGGACGGAGAAGGCAGCGCCGUUCUUGCCCGUUCGCCGGAACUUUUUUUUUUUUAAAAAAAAAGAGACGAAAUGCCCGUUCUGAAAAUUUUUAAUGAGCAAAUAGUAUCCUUAAAAAAACGAAGAAAGAAAGGGAAAAGGAAACUAAAUCCCCACACGUUGUGUAUAUAUGCAGAUACAGUAUAUGCAGUCAUAUCGCGAGCACUAAAUGCUGAGCGCAUGCAUGCACUUACUUUUUUUUUUUACCCACGGCACAACCGCAAACAGAUGACAGCAACCACUUGCACAUGCUCCUCUACAAUCAGCUCAUCAUUAUUCACACCUCGCAAUAAUCAACGGCCAUCAGUUAGCUCAAACCGGAGAUAAAUAACUCAUAAUAACAAAAAUGAAGUACUUAAUAUCGCUGGAUCAGAGAUUCAAAAGCUUCUGUUCAAUGAGAGUUUCAGGCGAUUACCUCUGCUAUUACAACAGCAGUCACCAGUUCACCACCAUCUUGAGCUAAUCGCACUCCUGACAAGUGACCCCCAAUCUUCUGGAGAUCUGUGAUGAUGUCAUUUCAAUCCUCUCCUUUCUUUUAAACGAUUUUACUCUGCUUACAUUGAAAGCAAUAAGCUAGGUUUGUAUGUAGUACGAGAAGUAGAUGCUGGGUUUACUAUACCAGCUUAACAGGAACGAGCAAAAAAAAAAAUGCGAUAGGAGGGGGAGAGGCCCCCCACCGUAUUUCAUUAAGAAGAAAACAGGAACGAGCAACAAAAGCACUAGGCAGCAAAAGAGAAAAGGACUAAGAAGUAAUUGCCCUUGUACAUUUGGCUCCAAGCUAUGAAGAUGGUUCAAUAGUUUCUCCACCAUGCAUGAAGCCUAGUUUCCAGUUUCCCACGAUACAUUUGCUUUUAGCAGGGUUCACCACUUUUGCAGGAAAGCAAUGCCAGUGAAUAUAACAUCCAUUUAUUUGGAAAGGAAUGCUCAAUCCACAUCUUGGUUUCUGCUAGCUAUUUCACAUUUAGCAGGGUUGGCCAAUUUUGCAAGGAAGCAAUACUGAUAUUGGUGAUUCCUAGAGGCCUAGACCACCAUAAUCUUUGGGCCUACUCACAGUCUCUCACUUAGCCAUAUGGUACUUGAAUUCUUUGCUGGAAUUUAGCUUUGACAUAAUCCUGGUUUUUUCACGAGUGGUAAAACAAGAAACGUGUAAAAUCUCAUAUUGUAAGUGGGGAGUGUGCUCAAACAAGUCUGCCUCCAUAAGUUAAAUGCUUAUAUUGUCCCAGCUCCCAGGGGUCUAACCUUUUAAGCAUUUUGUGUUAAGAAUAAAUAGCCUUGAAACGACAAUUUUUUUUUUAGAAUUCGAGGGCUAUUGCCCUGGCUUUUCAAUUGACAUCGAAAAACCAAGCGUCUUUUACAGCACAGUUUUAAGAAGGCAAAGGUCCACCUGGACUGCAAAAGAGACUUUAACACCUUGAAACGACAAUGCCUAACAAAGAACCGGAUAUUGCAAUUACAAGAUAUUCAGGGGAUAACUGUACCCCAAGUCGCAAUUCAGCAUGCUUGCACAUCUCUCUUUCUCUGUUUACCCCAUGCCAAACACAUACACUUCACUAUUGUGAUAAUUAAUUUUGAACCCUGAUAUUCAUUAUUCAGUACCAAAUCACUAAUCAGUUUGAAGCCAAGAAUUUACUUGUCUCUUCCAUAUCUACCAUAAGAACUGUAUAUAUUGGGCAUAUAUAUGGGAGUCCCCCUAACACAACUGACAGCAGAGUGCAUUACAAAUCUGCAAUGCACCGUGGUAGGAGGACUACGUACAUCACUUGAUGCCUUGGCGGCAAUUUCAAUCUCAAUAAAAAAAACAUCAUUGACGAACGUCCACACAGGCUUAACGCGUCAAAUCAAAUUCCAAUACAAAACACCAGAAACCAUUUGGGCCCUGCGAAUAUAUUAGGCCCGUCCUGUUAAUCAUUUGGACAUGGGAUGAAACUACACACAGUGGCUGGUGGUACUCAUUUACUACACAGUGUAGCUUAGCUGCUGUGCCUGCAACGCGGACAUCUGGUUCUGGUCAGGUGUAGCCGGGCACUGAACGCGCUAGUGCCCAACACCGGGAGUGCUGGGAGGAAAGGGAGGGCACACGCCGCCGACGUUGUUCCCGUAGGUGCAGUUGGACGG
RNAcentral lists this long non-coding RNA (3874 nucleotides) under Sorghum bicolor (sorghum). Its description in RNAcentral is "long non-coding RNA (SBIC_LNC000069)". Lineage: Eukaryota; Viridiplantae; Streptophyta; Magnoliopsida; Poales; Poaceae. The record is from RNAcentral.